This 92-nucleotide transfer RNA is filed under the name Coniochaeta sp. 2T2.1. Its description in RNAcentral is "tRNA-His". Lineage: Eukaryota; Fungi; Ascomycota; Sordariomycetes; Coniochaetales; Coniochaetaceae. The record is from RNAcentral.
GGUUCCGUGGUCCAGUGGUCAAGACUCAUCGUUGUGGUUAACUAUUCUAUCUACUCUCCGAUGCAACCCGUGUUCGAUUCACGGCGGAGCCA